Molecule: transfer RNA, 74 nt
Filed under: Mus musculus (house mouse)
Lineage: Eukaryota; Metazoa; Chordata; Mammalia; Rodentia; Muridae
Description: tRNA-Asp
Source: RNAcentral
GCUGGGAUGUGGCUCAGUGGUAGAAUACUUGCCUGUCAUGUGAGAGACCCUGGGCUCAAUUCCAAGUACCAAUG